UUAAACGGCCGCGGGAUCCUCCACCGUGCAAAGGUAGCAUAAUCACUUGUCCCCUAAAUAGUGACUAGUAUGAAUGGCCAAAUGAAGAUUUUACUGUCUCUUAUAGCCAAUCUAUGAAACUAAACUAUCAGUACAAAAACUGAUAUAUUAACAUAAGACGAAAAGACCCUGUGGAACUUCAAGCACAACCCAACACAAUGGACCCCUGCUUUUAGUUGGGGCAACUUUGGAAAUAAGCAAAACUUCCAAUUCAAAUAAAGAUUAACACAUCUAUAUAAUAUAAUACACCGACCCAACACACGUUGAUCAAAGAACCAAGCUACCCCAGGGAUAACAGCGCCAUCCCCUCUUAGAGCCCAAAUCGACGAGCGGGGUUUACGACCUCGAUGUUGGAUCAGGGCCCCCAAACAGUGCAACAGCUGUUAAUGGUUUGUUUGUUCAACAAUUAAAGCCCU
Molecule: ribosomal RNA, 455 nt
Filed under: Pholidobolus sp. 1 JS-2018
Lineage: Eukaryota; Metazoa; Chordata; Lepidosauria; Squamata; Gymnophthalmidae
Description: partial 16S ribosomal RNA
Rfam family: Bacterial large subunit ribosomal RNA
Source: RNAcentral